CCAGGUGUGGUGGUAAUGGAAAGCUCUGUUUCCCAUAAAACCCUCUCUUUUCUGAAGAGGCAGCAGCAUUUCACAGGCUGGUGGCUGUUUGCUCAUCUCUCAGCUAUGUUUAAGCUUACAAGUGGUUUUUUUUUUUUCCCCACCUCCCCUUUCACAAAACCUAAACGUGCCUUUCUCUCCCAGCCCAGGACAUGGUGCAGGGUGAAGAGCACAGAUAAAGACGCUCCCACCACUCACUCCACAGCCUGUCCCACCCUCCUGAGGACUCCAUGAGGCAGGACACGGGCUGAUGCCCUCAGCUCACCCCACCAUGGAUGGGGGGAACAGCUUCCCACAGCACCAGCAGCCGGGCGAUGCCAUCCGCGGCAUCCCCGGCCUCCGCUCCCAGCUCGCCGUGCCGGACGUGGAGAAUUCCACGCUGGCCGCCGACUCAUGGAGUAGCUGCUACCCAGUCUCUUUCCCAACCUCCUCCUUCCCAAGUGAAAACCAGUGAGUGCUGUUCUCCUUUGUCUAAUCCUCUCUGCUCUUGGACGCUCCGUGAUUCAACUGUUUCUUUACUGAUUUCCAUAUUUACUUUAUUUCACGAUCUGAUGGGGAAAUAAUUGCAUCAUUCACCGAUCUUGUGGCAUUUCAGACACUGCUGCAGCUUGGAAACAGCAGCAAGCAGCUUUUAGUUUUUAAAGAUGAGAAAAACCCUUUGUUUUCUGGUAAACCUGGAGGCAGCAGUAAGGGAGGAGCAGCCUUGGUUUAGCCUGGGUUUGUAACACUAAUGGAAUUCUUAGCAGAUCUGACUGAGCAAACACACUGGGCAGUGUCUGGCUUUGCACAGAUCUGGAGGAAGGUGUUACCUGUACCAGGUGUCAGGUUUUGGGUGAAGUUAAAAUCCUUUGUCAUUUCACUGGAAGUGACUGACACUAACAGCCAUGUCAUGUCUGUACUGAAAAAUGUUGUUUUUCAUUUUCCCUCUUUACAAUGAGCCUCCAUUCUGGGUCACAAAGUGGGAUAUGGCAAAUGUUUGGAUAACAUAAAGUGGCCUUGUGCUGUCACUGAGUGACUUGGAUGGAGACUCUGGUGGGGCUGGAGGUUUGGAGGCUGAUCCAUGGCUUCUUUGAUCUCUGAAUCCAGGGAGUGGCACAGAUACACAGGUUGUGUUCUUUAUCUAGGUCAGGGGUGGGAAGAAGGAGAACUGAAAGAAGCAGAAUUUGACAUCCUGAGCUAACAACUGUGUUCCAGGUGCCUGGAAUUAAAGUGGGGGUUUAGUGUAGCCUCCCUCCUGGAGGGAUUUUGGUGUUUUCAUGGUGGGAUCCCUCGCUGUGAGGGUGUUCCAGGCAGGUGGGAGCAGUGAGGAUCAGCCCCUCUGUCAGGGGAUGAAGGGACUCGUGUCCCUGUGUCGGUUCUGCUGCGCUGGUGGCCCUGGGAAGGUGGAUGGACAGGGCAGUUCCCCAUGAGAGGGUACCAAAAGCUGCCCCACAGAUGCUGAGGGAGCUGGGCUGUGCCAGCUCUUCCCCACAGGAGACUUCUCAGAUCCAUUCAGGCCCUUUGCUCUCGGCCAGCCUGGCUGAUUGGAAGGGGCUGUGCUUUUUGAGCAGGAUUCCUGUAAAU
Parus major (Great Tit) is the source of this 1602-nucleotide long non-coding RNA. Lineage: Eukaryota; Metazoa; Chordata; Aves; Passeriformes; Paridae. The record is from Ensembl.